AACCUUACCUACUCUUGACAUCCAGAGAACUUAGCAGAGAUGGAUUGGUGCCUUCGGGAACUCUGAGACAGGUGCUGCAUGGCUGUCGUCAGCUCGUGUUGUGAAAUGUUGGGUUAAGUCCCGCAACGAGCGCAACCCUUAUCCUUUGUUGCCAGCGGUCCGGCCGGGAACUCAAAGGAGACUGCCAGUGAUAAACUGGAGGAAGGUGGGGAUGACGUCAAGUCAUCAUGGCCCUUACGAGUAGGGCUACACACGUGCUACAAUGGCGCAUACAAAGAGAAGCGACCUCGCGAGAGCAAGCGGACCUCAUAAAGUGCGUCGUAGUCCGGAUUGGAGUCUGCAACUCGACUCCAUGAAGUCGGAAUCGC
Molecule: ribosomal RNA, 368 nt
Filed under: uncultured bacterium
Lineage: Bacteria
Description: bacterial SSU rRNA
Rfam family: Bacterial small subunit ribosomal RNA
Source: RNAcentral